ACCGCGAGCCAGAGCUGGAAGGUUGAUUACGUCAAAUUCAUGGCGCCAACUACGAUAAACAUUAGCAUUUGUCGAGCAGUGCGUUGUUUCCACGGGUUUUACGGAUAUUUUAGUGUACCUAGUGAAACAUACUAUUAGCAAAAUGACUGAAAAGGCCAAGGAGAUUCUGAAAAUGGACCUUUACGGUUUGCUUGGAAUUGAAAACACUGCUACAACGAAGGAGAUCAAGAAAGCCUAUCGACAGAAAGCUCUGACGUGCCAUCCAGACAAAAACCCAGACAACCCAAAAGCAGCUGAGCUUUUCCACCAGUUGUCCCAGGCUCUGGAGGUGCUUACUGAUACUCCUGCCAAGGCCGCCUAUGACAAGAUUUGCGCUGCCAAAAAACAAGCGGAAGAACGUAACCGCAAACUUGAUGACAAAAGAAAGAAGAUUAAGCUAGACCUUGAGACAAGAGAACGACAAGCAGAGGCUCAGACCCAAGUUGAAGUGCAAAUCACAAGAACACUUGAAGAAGAGAUAGCUCGUUUGAGGGAAGAGGGCUCCAGACAGCUUGAGGAAGAACAAAGGCUCAUCAGUGAGCAAAUCUUAAGAGAAAGAGAAGCUCAGCGGAACACAGGCUCUGGUGUCGAGAGAUGUUCCAGGACCAACGUCACCCCAAAACUAAAGUUAAAGUGGAAGUGUAAAAAAGAUGAAGAAACAAAUGGAGGCUACUGUCAAGAGUUCAUUUUCAAACUUCUACAAAAGUAUGGAGAUGUUUUGAAUGUGAUCAUAUCAAGUAAGAAGAGAGGAAGCGCUGUGGUAGAAUAUGCAACUGUAAAGGCAGCCGAACUGGCUGUGAGGAAUGAAAGCGGCCUGAGUGAAAACCCAUUGAAGAUUUCCUGGCUUGAGGGACAGCCGGAAGUUUCUUCUGCAUCUGAAUUCAAGUCUGCACAGGGCUCUCUAUCCAAUGAGCGCGACUAUGAAAGUGUGGUGAUGAUGAAGAUGAGGCAGGCUGCUGAGCGUCAGCGGCUCAUUGAUCAAAUGCAGAAGGAAGAUGAGGAAGAUGCUGCCAUGUCCUAAUGCUAUAGGACCUGGCCGGGCUCCGGUCUGCAACCAGUAUACGGGACAUCUGGUUUAAGUAAAGAAGUGAGAGUUCUGGUAGGAUUCAGAGGAAAUGUGACUUUCUCUUGGGACGGCGUGGCGCAGUGGGGAGAGUGGCCGUACACAACCCGAGCGUCCCUGGUUCAAUUCCCACCUAGUACCAACCUCGUCACGUCCGUUGUGUCCUGAGCAAGACACUUCACCCUUGCUCCUGAUUGGUGCUGGUUGGCUCCUUGCAUGGCAGCUCCCUCCAUCAGUGUGUGAAUGUGUGUGUGAAUGGGUAAAUGUGGAAGUAGUGUCAAAGCGCUUUGAGUACCUUGAAGGUAGAAAAGCGCUAUACAAGUACAACCCAUUUAUUUAUUUACAAAUAAAGUAUCUAUCUAUGUUAUUUUGGCAUAUUGUGGGAUCUGAGCCAAGGAUGUUGUUGUGGCUUGUGCAGCCCUUUGAGACACUUGUGAUUAAGGACUAUAUAAAUGAACUUUGAUUGAUUGAUUGAUAUUCUGAAGCGCAAUUCAGCUUAACUCAAGGUACAUCCAUCCAUCCAUCCAUUUCUACCGCUUAUUCCCUUUUGGGGUCGUGGGGGGCGCUGGUGCCUAUCUCAGCUACAAUCGGGCGGAAGGCGGUGUACACCCUGGACAAGUCACCACCUCAUCGCAGGGCCAACACAGAUAGACAACAUUCACAUUCACACACUAGGGCCAAUUAAGUGUUGCCAAUCAACCUAUCCCCAGGUGCAUGUCUUUGGAAGUGGGAGGAAGCCGGAGUACCCGGAGGGAAACCACGCAUUCACGGGGAAAAGAUGCAAACUCCUCACAGAAAGAUCCCGAGCCAGGGAUUGAACCCUGACUACUCAGGACCUUCGUAUUGUGAGGCAGACGCACUAACCCCUCCGCCACCGUGAAGCCCUACUCAAGGUACAAUUCCAGCAAAAUAACAUCAGUAGAAGAGAACGUGAAUUAGCAUGCUACACUUCUGUGUUUACAAUAUGAAUAUUAUUUAGCUUCAUAAUGUAGCUACUGGUGUGUAAACUCCAAGCCAAAGAGGAACCGCAAAAUGGUUAAACCACCGCAUCCACAGAGGUGAUAAUGGUAUUGGUAUAUCUGUCCAAGAAGGAAUCACAAAGUAUAGGUGACACCACCGGGUUAAAAAGUGGCGAAAACUUGUACAACACAAUGUAGAGUAUAUGUGUUUGCAAAUUCUGACUUAAAUCAUUCUUCCUGGAAGGGUAUUUUGCAAAUUGUUUCAAAGUCUGCACAAAAAUAACACUAUUUCAGGAUUAGGAUGCUAACAAAACACACACUAUGCAAUAUAAAUUCAAUCUAGUCUUUUGUAGGCGACGUCAGCAGGCUGAUGAUGCAGGCCCACCCACAUUUUUGAGCUGAGAGUGGCGGUUCCAAAAUGUGGCGAAACUUACCAGAAGACAUUCCUAAAAUCACUGUGUCAAUUUUGGGGGACAUUUAGCCUGUAGACAUCACUUUUCGGUCCUGCACUUUGAAGUGAGUACCAAAGUUGUCAGCAUUAGUGAGGGUCCUUUAAUGUUGUAUAACACAACAAAGCUACAUUGAAUCUGUUGCAUUUUCUGUUUUGCAUGUUAGUUGGCGACUUGUCCAGGGUGUGCGCCACCUUCCGCCCGAAUGUAGCUGAGAUAGGCUCCAGCGUACCCCCUCACCCCCUCCUGCAACCCCGAAAGGGACAAGCGGUAGUAAAUGGAUGGAUGGAUGUUAGUUACUCAUAAAGCUUCCACAACUCUGUUUGAAAGUUAAGUUAAGUUAAGCAGUGCUAGCCACUGAGCUAAAAAGUACAGUCGCACAGCCACACUAACUGCCUUCUGUUACACUACUCAAGUUUGGUUUCACCUGCAGGCAUCUGGCAGGUGCACAUCCUAAUCCUCAAAUAAGACUGUCUAUAAAUAGAUGUUCCAAGUAUUAGAGAGAAUAAUGUCGCUUGAGUUGUGUGUUAACAAAAGAAACAAGGGAUAAUAAAACGUAUUGACUGUAUUAGCUUUUAAUUCCACGGAUUUAUGAUAGUGUGCUUAUAACUCAUGUUUAUGCAUCUGCAGUAUUGUUCAAGUAUACACUGAUAAAUAAUCAAUGUUGCACAGUACCUCCAAGAUAAAGUGCAACAUUUUUUUUAAAUUAAUA
Molecule: RNA transcript, 3222 nt
Organism: Nerophis ophidion (straightnose pipefish)
Lineage: Eukaryota; Metazoa; Chordata; Actinopteri; Syngnathiformes; Syngnathidae
Gene: dnajc17
Gene name: DnaJ (Hsp40) homolog, subfamily C, member 17
Exons: 13
Source: RefSeq, a predicted model, not a curated record